AGCGGCGGACGGGUGAGUAACGCGUGGGUAACCUGCCCUGUACACACGGAUAACAUACCGAAAGGUAUGCUAAUACGAGAUAAUAUGCUUUUAUCGCAUGGUAGAAGUAUCAAAGCUCCGGCGGUACAGGAUGGACCCGCGUCUGAUUAGCUAGUUGGUAAGGUAACGGCUUACCCAGGCGACGACCAGUAGCCGACCUGAGAGGGUAAUCGGCCACAUUGGAACUGAGACACGGUCCAAACUCCUACGGGAGGCAGCAGUGGGGAAUAUUGCACAAUGGGCGAAAGCCUGAUGCAGCAACGCCGUGUGAGUGAUGAAGGCCUUCGGGUCGUAAAACUCUGUCCUCAAGGAAGAUAAUGACGGUACUUGAGGAGGAAGCCCCGGCUAACUACGUGCCAGCAGCCGCGGUAAUACGUAGGGGGCUAGCGUUAUCCGGGUUUACUGGGCGUAAAGGGUGCGUAGGUGGUCUCUUAAGUCAGGAGUGAAAGGCUACGGCUUAACCGUAGUAAGCUCUUGAAACUGGGAGACUUGAGUGCAGGAGAGGAAAGUGGAAUUCCUAGUGUAGCGGUGAAAUGCGUAGAUAUUAGGAGGAACACCAGUAGCGAAGGCGGCUUUCUGGACUGUAACUGACACUGAGGCACGAAAGCGUGGGGAGCAAACAGGAUUAGAUACCCUGGUAGUCCACGCCGUAAACGAUGAGUACUAGGUGU
This 710-nucleotide ribosomal RNA is filed under the name uncultured bacterium. Its description in RNAcentral is "bacterial SSU rRNA". It matches the Rfam family "Bacterial small subunit ribosomal RNA", at positions 94 to 823 of the family's 1533-position model. The record is from RNAcentral.